AAAGCUCGUAGUUGAAUUUCGGGAUUGACACAUCGGUCGUGCCUUAAGGGGUAUGAACUGGUGUAGUCAAUUUCUCACCUUCUGGAGAACCGCGAUGCCCUUAAUUGGGUGUCACGGGGAACCAGGACCUUUACUUUGAAAAAAUUAGAGUGUUUAAAGCAGGCAUUUUGCUUGAAUACAUUAGCAUGGAAUAAUAAAAUAGGACGGCAUGAUUCUAUUUUGUUGGUUUCUAGGAUCACCGUAAUGAUUAAUAGGGAUAGUUGGGGGCAUUAGUAUUCAAUUGUCAGAGGUGAAAUUCUUGGAUUUAUUGAAGACUAACUACUGCGAAAGCAUUUGCCAAGGAUGUUUUCAUUAAUCAAGAACGAAAGUUAGGGGAUCGAAGACGAUCAGAUACCGUCGUAGUCUUAACCAUAAACUAUGCCGACUAGGAAUCAGACGAUGUUAAUUUUUUAAUGACUCGUUCGGCACCUUACGGGAA
Molecule: ribosomal RNA, 478 nt
Filed under: uncultured Glomus
Lineage: Eukaryota; Fungi; Glomeromycota; Glomeromycetes; Glomerales; Glomeraceae
Description: SSU rRNA
Rfam family: Eukaryotic small subunit ribosomal RNA
Source: RNAcentral